GCUUGCUCCCCGCUGACGAGCGGCGGACGGGUGAGUAAUGCAUAGGAAACUGCCCAGUAGUGGGGGAUAGCCCGGGGAAACCCGGAUUAAUACCGCAUACGCCCUUUGGGGGAAAGCAGGGGAUCUUCGGACCUUGCGCUAUUGGAUGUGCCUAUGUCGGAUUAGCUAGUUGGUGGGGUAAGAGCCUACCAAGGCGACGAUCCGUAGCUGGUCUGAGAGGAUGAUCAGCCACAUCGGGACUGAGACACGGCCCGAACUCCUACGGGAGGCAGCAGUGGGGAAUAUUGGACAAUGGGGGCAACCCUGAUCCAGCCAUGCCGCGUGUGUGAAGAAGGCUUUCGGGUUGUAAAGCACUUUCAGUGAGGAGGAAAACCUUACGAUUAAUACUCGUGAGGCUUGACGUUACUCACAGAAGAAGCACCGGCUAACUCCGUGCCAGCAGCCGCGGUAAUACGGAGGGUGCAAGCGUUAAUCGGAAUUACUGGGCGUAAAGCGCGCGUAGGUGGUUUGAUAAACCGAGAUGUGAAAGCCCCGGGCUCAACCUGGGAACGGCAUUUCGAACUGUCAGGCUAGAGUAUGGUAGAGGAGUGUGGAAUUUCCUGUGUAGCGGUGAAAUGCGUAGAUAUA
This 627-nucleotide ribosomal RNA is filed under the name uncultured bacterium. RNAcentral's name for it is "bacterial SSU rRNA". It matches the Rfam family "Bacterial small subunit ribosomal RNA", at positions 78 to 698 of the family's 1533-position model. The record is from RNAcentral.